GAUGAACGCUAGCGAUAGGCUUAACACAUGCAAGUCGAGGGGCAGCAUGGUCUUAGCUUGCUAAGGCUGAUGGCGACCGGCGCACGGGUGCGUAACGCGUAUGCAACUUGCCUCACAGAGGGGGAUAACCCGUCGAAAGACGGACUAAUACCGCGUACACUCUAUGUUGGGCAUCCAAUGUAGAGGAAAUGAAAUUCGCUGUGAGAUAGGCAUGCGUCCCAUUAGCUAGUUGGUGAGGUAACGGCUCACCAAGGCGACGAUGGGUAGGGGAACUGAGAGGUUGAACCCCCGCACUGGUACUGAGACACGGACCAGACUCCUACGGGAGGCAGCAGUGAGGAAGAUUGGUCAAUGGGCGAGGGCCUGAACCAGCCAAGUCGCGUGAAGGAUGACUGUCUUAUGGAUUGUAAACUUCUUUUAUACGGGAAUAACAAGAGUCACGUGUGGCUCCCUGCAUGUACCGUAUGAAUAAGCAUCGGCUAACUCCGUG
Molecule: ribosomal RNA, 490 nt
Filed under: uncultured bacterium
Lineage: Bacteria
Description: partial 16S ribosomal RNA
Rfam family: Bacterial small subunit ribosomal RNA
Source: RNAcentral